UUCUAGUUUAGCAAAACAGCAAACAGGAUUCCCACCUGCAGAUAAGCCUAUCAAAAUGCCUUAAAAACCUUACAAACACUAAAAGUGCUCCUCCACGAAAUAACAGACAACGGAGCAGGAAAGCAGGGUACACAAGUUGCGACCUAGGCAGCUCUAAUUCUACGUGCUUGCUGAUUCUUUUCUCAAUCAAGGCUUGUUGGAUGGCCGUCAAAUCCUGAUGGGAAAAAAAUACACACGUGUAUGCACCAAUCAGAGUUAUGGUACCUACAGCCAAUCAGAGGAAGAGGAGCUCACAACCAAUCAGUGAGCAGCAAGGAAUAGCCUUUUGCGGCCCAUACUUGGAGAGGACGGGAGCUGAUGAAGCAUGGCGGAUGCUCAGAUCAUCAAAACCAAUGGAGAAAAGUCAACAUACGCAAGGAGCCCCCAGGACCGAUUCUGAGAACCACUGGCUUAAAUGCUCUUGUCGGUCUCUUAAAUGCUAAAAACAUGUUCCUUUCUAAAUGCCAGUCUUACAAUAAUGGUUAAUUGCAUUAAAUUCUGUGUGUGUGAUUUCACCGUGUGUUGUAUGUUAUCCAACAAAUUAAAUCAUAAACCUGGCUUAAGACUCUUAAUUCGCUUCGUGAAACUGAAAAUUCUGCAAUUUAUCCCAAAUCGGGAUUAUAGUAGCUUUGUCACAUCCGUGAAGCAUGACCCAGGUUUACGGAAUGUAGGCUACACGACUGACAAGCCGUCAAACACGUUUGACAAACUGAAUAUUUGCCGGAUAGGGUUAGAUAGGUAGCUUGCUAGUCAAAUGGCUUGGUAGCCGAAGUUGCGAACUGUUUUAGCAUACUGGACUACCCAAUAUAGCAAAUAAGCGUUAGCUGAUUACGCUUUCUGCCAACUAAUUAUUUGGUUAAGUAGGCUAAAGGAAAAAGUAAAAAUGACUUGGCUACCGACAAAACUUAGGAGGAGGAUUAUUUUAUGGUCGAUCAGUGUAGCUGUAAAUAGCGAACGCCAUAAUGAAAUCACUACGAAAUGGGAUGUCUGCAUUUUCUGACUUCGCACAGGUGGACCGUGGACGUCUCUCAACAAAACCAGGAAGUGAGCUUCAAAAACAUCUUUGGCACUAAAUUCACUCCAUACGUGUGGGCAUAUUAUUUUACCAUUGUCAAGCAAAACUCUGGUUCUCUCUGGUAGUUCUAUUUGCACCGUUGUUAAGCAAAAACCUCCUUAAUUCAAUGAAAACAAAGAUUCUAUCAAGAGAAAAUAGUUCCUUCUCAUUUUAUACCAUACAAUUAGCACCAAUUUGGUCAUUUUUGUUAUUAC
This is a long non-coding RNA of Anguilla rostrata (American eel), 1308 nucleotides long. RefSeq lists it as uncharacterized. The record is from RefSeq and is a predicted model, not a curated record. NCBI's taxonomy places the organism in Eukaryota, Metazoa, Chordata, Actinopteri, Anguilliformes, Anguillidae. The transcript has 3 exons.